UUACUCGUCGUUACUGGGCGUAUAGGAUACGUAGAUGGUUCUAAACAUGCUAUUUACUGAAACGAUUUUGUUAGGGGGUGGUAAUUUAGGUACUUGGUUUAGUUAAGGGCGGCACACAGGUGUAUGUUAGCGAUAAAAUGCAGAAAAUAUAUGCUGGUUUCCGAAAGUGAAAACAUGCCGCUAUAACUAAUCGACAUUGAGGUAUGAAGGUAUGGGUGUCGAUCGGGAUUAGAGACCCCAGUAGUCCAUACUACAAAAGAUGAGUAUUCCAAUAGCACAAACUUGGAAGCUAACGCGAUAAAUACUCCGCCUGGGGAGUACGGCCGCAAGGUUAAAACUUAAGAGAUUUGGCGGGAAUUUGUUCGAACGGUGGAACAUGUGGUUUAAUUCGAUAAUCCACGAAAAAUCUUACCAGUGUUGGAAUACACUAGAAUCGAAGGAGUAACGUCAUAGAUCGAUUUUUUAGUGUUAACACGGUGUUGCAUGGCUGUCGUCAGUUCGUGCUGUGAAGUGUAGAGUUAAGUCUUAUAAACGAACAAAAUCUCUCGAAUUUUGUGGUUAGGUUGUUUUAUUUUUUUGCAACUUAAUUUUAAAAAUUUGAUAUAAAUUGUUUGGUGUAAGAUUUGGAAAGUUAUUUUUACUUUCCGAUUUAUUUAUCGUCGAUAUUUGCUUAUUUUUUUUGCAAAAAAGGGACCGAACAUCUACUUGCUUGUCUAGUAGGUGUUUGUUUUUUUUUUUGUAAAUAUUAAUAAGGAUGCGUUAUUGGUUUGAUAAGUUUUUCAUAAAUAAUUUAUUAGAAUAUAGAGCUGAAGUCAAGUCCUUAUGGCCUGUAUAUGCUGGGCUACACACGUGUUACAAGGGUAGAGACAGAGAGUAGCAAGUGUGCGAACAGGAGCAAGCCUCUAAAAAUUACCUUAGUUCGGAUUGUUUUAUGUAACUCUAAAGCAUGAAGUUGAAAUCGUUAGUAAUUACACUUGAGUAUGGUGUAGUGAAUGAAAAGUCAAAUUUUGCACACACUGCCCAUCACGCCCGAAGAAUUGGUCCGGAGGGAAGGUGCCUUGAUCGCUGUGGUGAGUUGUAGUAAAACAAGUCCCCUGCUAUAAUUAGUCAUUUACGGAUGGCGGUCUUUGUUCAUCGAAGUCAGUUUGUAUUUGUGUAAUUGACACAAGG
RNAcentral lists this ribosomal RNA (1170 nucleotides) under Haptophrya planariarum. RNAcentral's name for it is "partial small subunit ribosomal RNA". It matches the Rfam family "Bacterial small subunit ribosomal RNA", at positions 541 to 1533 of the family's 1533-position model. Lineage: Eukaryota; Ciliophora; Oligohymenophorea; Astomatida; Haptophryidae. The record is from RNAcentral.